RNAcentral lists this transfer RNA (64 nucleotides) under Hydrothassa glabra. RNAcentral's name for it is "tRNA-Cys". The record is from RNAcentral. Lineage: Eukaryota; Metazoa; Arthropoda; Insecta; Coleoptera; Chrysomelidae.
AGCUUUAUAUUCAACAAUGAUUCUAGAUUGCAAAUUUAGAGGUAAAGGCAAACUUUUAAGGCUU